AAUUAAUUCAAAAUUAAUUUUUUUUCCAAAAGUUCUAACACUUCUUCUUUUUUUAUUUUUUUAAUUAUUUUAUUUUAUAUUUUAAUUAUUUCUUUCUCAUCUUCUUUAACGUCUAACUCUUUAACUUUCAAUAACAUCACCUUCUCUCUUUUUAUUAUUAUUGUAAUUAAUUCAAAAUUAAUUUUUUUUCCAAAAGUUCUAACACUUCUUCUUUUUUUAUUUUUUUAAUUAUUUUAUUUUAUAUUUUAAUUAUUUCUUUCUCAUCUUCUUUAACGUCUAACUCUUUAACUUUCAAUAACAUCACCUUCUCUCUUUUUAUUAUUAUUGUAAUUAAUUCAAAAUUAAUUUUUUUUCCAAAAGUUCUAACACUUCUUCUCUUCUUUAACGUUUCCCACUUCUCUCUCUUUAUUAUUAUAUUUAAUUAAUAAUUAAUUUUUUCAUCCCCCAUGUCUCCAUUAAUCUCUUCGUUUUUCAACUCUUGCUAAAUCUCUUUCAUCCUCUCCCUCUCCCGUAAAAAGUCGCUCGCUUUCAUCACUGUUGUAUCGCGUCAAGUUCAUAGAAUCCGCAGAUCCCGUCGUGUAUUUGGUGGGGAUGGCAGUGGUGGUAGAAGAUGAAGAUCUUGGAUGCGGCGGCUGCGGAAGCGGCAACAGAAGUGGAAGAGAGUGUAUGGAUAUAUAAUCAACUUACUAUUGAUAGUAUAUAUAUACGGUGAUAAUCAAGUAAUCGGGAAUUUUUUUGUAUUUUACUUUUUCUUUAAUGUUUUUCUUUUUAACUACCCUAUCUAUUAGCUUUUUUCAAUUUCUUUUAUAGUUAUUUAGAUGUAUGUAAAAUUGUUAAACAAUAAGCUGAUAGAAAAUAUAUUUUUUUAUAGAAUUUGUUUCUAGAAUUAGAUGUUUUUUUAAAGGAUUUGCAUGUAUGUUAUAAAUAAUUGCUUACCCCAAUUUACAAUUUUAUAUAUACACUGAAUAAUUUUAAAAAAUUUACUAUUAGACAAUUAAAAUCUAAUUCAACAAAUACAAUUUAAAUCAUAUUAAAGUUUAUAUAUUAAAAUUUUAUAGCACCUUGAGCUAAUUUUAUUUAAAUUAUUUUUAUUUAAAUUAAUUGAAUUAUUAAUCUUGCUAAUAAUUUUAUUUAAAUUGUAUUUGUUUUCCUUUAUUUUACGCCUCUCUUUUUUUCUCUUUUUUUUUUUCUUUCUUCAUCUCCUCACUGUAUUUUGUUUUUGAUAUAUGUACAAUUUCAAACUAUCAUCGAUGAUCAACAAUAAUAAAAAAAUUGCUUUGAUAAUAUUUGUCCGCUGUAUCGUGCGGAUAACUACACUAGUUACUAUGGUAGGAGAAUAAAUGAAAUACGGUGAACCAUUCGUCGUGUCCACACAUGAUGAAUGAUUCAUCGUGUUCAACUUAAACUACACCACUUUUCACGCACGCGUAGCGCUCGCAUGACGCUUAAUGACGGGAAUAGAACUAAUCUUGUAAAUAUAAAUUUUAUGGAACUAUUUGUAGAAAUUUUUUUUCGAGAGAGUUAAAUG
RNAcentral lists this long non-coding RNA (1528 nucleotides) under Ananas comosus (pineapple). RNAcentral describes it as "long non-coding RNA (ACOM_LNC006750)". Lineage: Eukaryota; Viridiplantae; Streptophyta; Magnoliopsida; Poales; Bromeliaceae. The record is from RNAcentral.